RNAcentral lists this unclassified non-coding RNA (296 nucleotides) under uncultured fungus. RNAcentral describes it as "partial contains 5.8S ribosomal RNA, internal transcribed spacer 2, and large subunit ribosomal RNA". The record is from RNAcentral. Lineage: Eukaryota; Fungi.
AACGCAUAUUGCGCCCUCUGGCACUCCAGAGGGCAUGUCCGACCGAGCGCCACUGCCCGCGCUCGGGAAAGGGGAUUCCUCUCCAGGAAGCCCCGUUCCCGGUGUUGGGGCCCCGCGCAGAACGCCCUCGCGGGCGGCGCGGCCCCGAAAUGCAGUGGCGGCCGUCCUCGUGGUCCUCUAGGCGCAGUAGCAUUGCCACCUGCCGUCUUGCGAGGCCCGGGGAGGGCCCGCCUCGAAACCCCCUGAAUCCAGCACUGGUUGGCCUCGGGUCGGACAAGAUUACCCGCUGAACUUAA